RNAcentral lists this ribosomal RNA (180 nucleotides) under Apterosperma oblata. RNAcentral's name for it is "5.8S ribosomal RNA". It matches the Rfam family "5.8S ribosomal RNA". Rfam says of the family: 5.8S ribosomal RNA (5.8S rRNA) is a component of the large subunit of the eukaryotic ribosome. It is transcribed by RNA polymerase I as part of the 45S precursor that also contains 18S and 28S rRNA. Lineage: Eukaryota; Viridiplantae; Streptophyta; Magnoliopsida; Ericales; Theaceae. The record is from RNAcentral.
AACAGACGACUUCUCGGCAAACGGGAUAUCUCGGCUCUCGCAUCGAUGAAGAACGUAGCGAAAUGCGAUACUUGGUGUGAAUUGCAAGAAUCCCCCGUGAACCAUCCGAGUCCUUUGAACGCAAGGUUGCGCCCCGAAAGCCAUUUAAGGCAAAGGGCACGCCUGCCUGGGCGUCUCACG